GAAGACGACGAGGUAGAUAGGUUGGGGGUGGAAGUGCAGUAAUGCAUGGAGCUGACCAAUACUAAUCGGUCGAGGGCUUAUCCUAAA
This 87-nucleotide ribosomal RNA is filed under the name Paenibacillus polymyxa. RNAcentral's name for it is "partial 23S ribosomal RNA". It matches the Rfam family "Bacterial large subunit ribosomal RNA", at positions 2840 to 2925 of the family's 2925-position model. RNAcentral also lists the same sequence under 1 other name. The record is from RNAcentral. Lineage: Bacteria; Bacillati; Bacillota; Bacilli; Caryophanales; Paenibacillaceae.